Non-coding RNA from Schizosaccharomyces pombe (fission yeast), 324 nucleotides. NCBI's taxonomy places the organism in Eukaryota, Fungi, Ascomycota, Schizosaccharomycetes, Schizosaccharomycetales, Schizosaccharomycetaceae. The record is from the annotation of a GenBank genome assembly.
AUUGAUUAUUGUUCCUAAUAACUUGGCAAGUGGACCGAAAUAUCUUCAUGUACUCUGAUGAUUUUCCAAUUGAAUUUGAUCCAAUGCCAAGUGCUUGCUACUAAAAGCGUUUAGCUUUAAAGAUCAAGUUAACAAAAAGACGAAGACAAUUUUAUUAGAAUUUCUUAUUUUGUUGUAUUAGAGUACAAUGAAAUAUAAACCUUUGACAUAUAAGCACUCCAUUCGAAUGAUUGUUCAAAAAGAUACCUUUCUUUUUCAUCUUUUUGCUCAAGUGCUUGUAAUGUUUGCAUUAUUCUAAAAUACCGGUGUGUUUUAUGAUUCGUU